This 1351-nucleotide ribosomal RNA is filed under the name uncultured bacterium. Its description in RNAcentral is "bacterial SSU rRNA". It matches the Rfam family "Bacterial small subunit ribosomal RNA", at positions 28 to 1381 of the family's 1533-position model. The record is from RNAcentral.
GACGAACGCUGGCGGCGUGCCUAACACAUGCAAGUCGAGCGAUGAACCGAGAAAGAUUUCCUUCGGGAAUGAUUUUUGGGGGAUUAGCGGCGGACGGGUGAGUAACACGUGAGUAACCUGCCGUACACAUAGGGAUAGCCUCGGGAAACUGGGAUUAAUACCAAAUGAAACAUACUGAUAGCCUUAUCAAAAUGUCAAAGAUUUUAUCGGUGUACGAUGGACUCGCGUCUGAUUAGCUAGUUGGUAAGGUAACGGCUUACCAAGGCGAUGAUCAGUAGCCGGCCUGAGAGGGUGACCGGCCACAUUGGGACUGAGACACGGCCCAAACUCCUACGGGAGGCAGCAGUGGGGGAUAUUGCACAAUGGAGGCAACUCUGAUGCAGCGACGCCGCGUGAGCGAUUGAAGGGAUUCGUCUCGUAAAGCUCUGUCCUAUGGGAAGAUAAUGACGGUACCAUAGAAGAAAGCCCCGGCUAACUACGUGCCAGCAGCCGCGGUAAUACGUAGGGGGCGAGCGUUGUCCGGAAUCAUUGGGCGUAAAGGGUUCGUAGGCGGCCGUAUAAGUCAGAUGUGAAAAGAUGUGGCUUAACCAUGUUAAGCAUUUGAAACUGUACGGCUUGAGUGAAGGAGAGGUAAGUGGAAUUCCUAGUGUAGCGGUGAAAUGCGUAGAUAUUAGGAGGAAUACCAGUAGCGAAGGCGACUUACUGGCCUUUAACUGACGCUGAGGAACGAAAGCGUGGGUAGCAAACAGGAUUAGAUACCCUGGUAGUCCACGCCGUAAACGAUGAGUGCUAGGUGUCGGGAGUCAAAUCUCGGUGCCGCAGUUAACGCAAUAAGCACUCCGCCUGGGGAGUACGUACGCAAGUAUGAAACUCAAAGGAAUUGACGGGGACCCGCACAAGCAGCGGAGCAUGUGGUUUAAUUCGAAGCAACGCGAAGAACCUUACCAGGACUUGACAUACUAGUGACCGGUAUAGAGAUAUACCUUUUCUUCGGAACACUAAUACAGGUGGUGCAUGGUUGUCGUCAGCUCGUGUCGUGAGAUGUUGGGUUAAGUCCCGUAACGAGCGCAACCCCUAUUUUUAUUUGCUAGCAAGUAAUGUUGAGAACUAUAAAGAGACUGCCGAUGACAAAUCGGAGGAAGGUGGGGAUGACGUCAAAUCAUCAUGCCCUUUAUGUCCUGGGCUACACACGUGCUACAAUGGUAGGUACAGAGAGCAGCAAAACAGUGAUGUCAAGCAAAUCUCAAAAAGCCUAUCCCAGUUCGGAUUGUACUCUGCAACUCGAGUACAUGAAGUUGGAGUUGCUAGUAAUCGCGGAUCAGAAUGUCGCGGUGAAUGCGUUCCCGGGUCU